This 253-nucleotide ribosomal RNA is filed under the name uncultured bacterium. RNAcentral describes it as "partial 16S ribosomal RNA". It matches the Rfam family "Bacterial small subunit ribosomal RNA", at positions 524 to 776 of the family's 1533-position model. The record is from RNAcentral.
UACGAAGGGGGCUAGCGUUGCUCGGAAUGCCUGGGCGUAAAGGGCGCGUAGGCGGAUGGCACAGUCAGAUGUGAAAUUCCUGGGCUUAACCUGGGGGCUGCAUUUGAUACGUGUGAUCUGGAGUGAGGAAGAGGGUUGUGGAAUUCCCAGUGUAGAGGUGAAAUUCGUAGAUAUUGGGAAGAACACCGGUGGCGAAGGCGGCGACCUGGUCCUUAACUGACGCUGAGGCGCGAAAGCGUGGGGAGCAAACAGG